UGGCUUUGCAGCGGCUUUACCAACAAGCUGUUAUUUUUCAGUGUCACUUCACCGCUGGCAUGAGUAAUGUGGUUUUCUUCCAAGGGGAUAUCGAGAUGUAAGCGCCCACUUACAUUGCCUCCGACCUGCAAUUCUUGCAAUGUUUCCGCCACUGAAUCUUUAAGGGGGGUGCCAGUAAAGUAGUCAUGGACAGCGCGCCCUUCACCGACGACUUCAGCAUCGACAUACAGUUUUUCUUUCAGGUAAUCGGGAAUGAUGGCGCUGAUAUUGCUGCCGGUAACCUUACCCAGCAUGGCGUGAGGCGCGUUCAUCCAUAGACCGUCAUUGAGGAAAUUGAGGUCAAUGGCUAAAUUGUCCAACGCAGGCCAAUCGGGCUGGAACUGGAAGGUGGCGUU
RNAcentral lists this non-coding RNA (395 nucleotides) under Yersinia kristensenii. Lineage: Bacteria; Pseudomonadati; Pseudomonadota; Gammaproteobacteria; Enterobacterales; Yersiniaceae. The record is from RNAcentral.